GACGAACGCUGGCGGCGUGCCUAAUACAUGCAAGUCGAACGCACUCUCGUUUGGAUUGAAGGAGCUUGCUCCUGAUUGAUAAACAUUUGAGUGAGUGGCGGACGGGUGAGUAACACGUGGGUAACCUGCCCUAAAGUGGGGGAUAACAUUUGGAAACAGAUGCUAAUACCGCAUAAAACCUAACACCGCAUGGUGUAGGGUUGAAAGAUGGUUUCGGCUAUCACUUUAGGAUGGACCCGCGGUGCAUUAGUUAGUUGGUGAGGUAAAGGCUCACCAAGACCGUGAUGCAUAGCCGACCUGAGAGGGUAAUCGGCCACACUGGGACUGAGACACGGCCCAGACUCCUACGGGAGGCAGCAGUAGGGAAUCUUCCACAAUGGACGAAAGUACUGAUGGAGCAACGCCGCGUGAGUGAAGAAGGUUUCGGAUCGUAAAACUCUGUUGUUGGUAGAAAAUGUAUCUGAUAGUAACUGA
RNAcentral lists this ribosomal RNA (474 nucleotides) under uncultured bacterium. RNAcentral's name for it is "bacterial SSU rRNA". It matches the Rfam family "Bacterial small subunit ribosomal RNA", at positions 28 to 482 of the family's 1533-position model. The record is from RNAcentral.